Long non-coding RNA from Sapajus apella (tufted capuchin), 3224 nucleotides. RefSeq lists it as uncharacterized. The record is from RefSeq and is a predicted model, not a curated record. NCBI's taxonomy places the organism in Eukaryota, Metazoa, Chordata, Mammalia, Primates, Cebidae. The transcript is spliced from 2 exons.
UCCUCCUGCUGUGGCCUUCCAAAGUGCUAGGAUUAUAGGCAUGAACAACUACCCCUGGCCUUCAGUAAUUAUUUUAAAGUCUUUUAAAAAUUUUUUCUCUUCCCCUUAAAUUGUCUUUUAGAGUAAGGUUCUUGUUCCUCUAGUCGACAAGAGUAUCUGAGGAAUCACAGAAGAAAGUACAGGCCUUUGAGAGUAGCUUCCUUCGUGGAAAGGCAGAUGAAUACUUAUUGAGCAUCUCCUAUGUCCUAUCAUUUACCCUGCCAUUUUACAGAUGAGAAAGGUUGAGGCUAAGAGAGUAGUGAGUGCCAGAGGUUACUUGCUAGGUAGUGGUGGACUUGGUCCAGAGCCUGGGGCUUCCUACUUUCAUUCCUGGCUGACUGUAUUAAUUGCAUGUGAUGUCUCCAUGGCCAGCAGGAGCCAGAGGUGGCCCACAUGUGCUUUGCAGAGGAAGUUGUGCCGCCACUUUUAUGAGUGACGGCUGGAAUGCUUUUCUUAACUGGAACUUUGUUGAUGAAGAACCUGGUGCUCUGUGGCAGUGCUAACCUGGGGAGCCCGUGCUAAAACCCAAGCAGCAAAACCACCACCCAACCCCCUGUGCUGUUGCCGUGAAUGCUCAUGUUCCUUUCACCUUUCAUCUUGCCUUGUUCCUUUCCCUGUUUUCUCUGCCCUGUUUUGGGGCUGGUCUUCCUACCAUCUUUCCUACUAGGGCUCCCAAAGUGUGGCACUUCUGAGGUUUACAUGGUGCGCCCUGGGAAUAGCUUGGAUUUUUUAUCCAGAUCAUUGGACAUAAUGGAGUAGAUGGAGUCGGGGUGGUAGAGGAACAUAUACCCUCUCAGGGGGCAGAUGGGCUUCCAGAACUGACCAGCCCAACCUCUUUCUCACCACCCUGGUUCUAUUUUUAAAGACACCUCUCAAUAGCAGGAAAUCCUUCCUUUUGUCUACCUUCCAUCCCUUAUGCUUCAGUUUAAACCCAUUUCCUCUUCUUUCCAGAGAAGACAAAGUAUCUCAUCACCAGCUUUGGGCUGAAAUGUUUCGUAUUUUAGAUUCUUCCCUCCAUUCUCUGCCACUGCUUCUUCCUAGAUACCACUUUUCUGAAUCUGAACUCAUGGAUCUGUUAUCUUGUAACCCAUUUAUUGUUUUUGUGCCUCUUUUUAGAAUCUGCUAGUUUCCCAGCUCUUUUACUCAAACAUUAGUCUGAUUGCUACAGUGUCCAAUGGCAAGAAAUCUUAGUAUUUUUCACAUUCUUUACUCUUAUGUCUGCACUUUUGUAUCCAGCUUGCUUUAUAAAAAACCAGUGCUUCAUUGAUGACUCAUGCUCAGCUUGGUGUCCACUAGGAAUGUUACAUAUUUGUCAGCCAUCUUUGAGAGCAGUUAAACUUUCACUCCCAGUUGUCCUGAUGCCUCAUUUCUCCCAUCCUGGGUCCCCCUCUCGGUCCUUGUCCAUAUUGAGCUUAGCUCGCCAUUCCUGACACAAGUUCCCUGACUUCCUCUCCCCUUCCCCGGAUGACAGUGAGUUAUGACCUUGUCUCCGAAGGUGCCCCCUCCCUCUUGGCUCCUCUCCCAGUGACAACUUCAUGGAGGCUGAGAAAUAUAGUGAGUGGCCUUUCUUGCCUCACUUACUGCUCGGUAAGUUAGCUCAGGGGGAGAGCUGUUCAUAACUUUACACUGACAUCUGGAGAACAAAGGUUUUGGAGGAGCAGAGCCCAGAUUCCCUGGGAGCCAGCAGAGCCAAGUCUUUUUUGAGUUUCCAGCAAAACCUGUGUUAUAAUAAUAGGAGUGGGUCAUUGUGUUUAAUAGUACAACAAAACCUAAGUGCACAUAAUAAGCACAUCUUUUCUGUGUGCUGGGGUGAGGAGAGGUGACAGUGAGUGUGUAGGAUGAUAUGAAAAGUAUUACAGACAUGGGAAAGCAUCUCAAAGCACACAAAGGUGGCAUGAGUCAUCACAGGCUUAUGGCCACAAGGCUAGAUUUUCAAUCCCUGCUUCCCUUUUUUGUACCCCAGUUCAAUGAAGACAUAAUUGAAGUGGUGAGAAGAGGGACCACCGCUCUUCAGACUCCAGGGUAUUUGUAUCCCAGGACCCCUCUGUGGGUGUCAGCCCAGCGGUGCCCAGAGAAUAUCCCCUGAUUGGAUCUUUCUUGAAUUGACUUGUUCACUUCCCGUUCUGCCCAGCCUGGCCGUGACUCGGUAAUCCCCGCAAUAUGACCUCACAGUGGGCUGAGUGGCCUGGGGAAACUCAAGUUAGGGGCAGAAAUGGGGAAGCUGGAAAGUUGGGUGAUCAAGAGUGGUUCGGAAGCCUCUGUGUUUGUGUCAAUCUGCUUACAUCUCUGCCCACCAGCCACCACCACUUUCUCCCUGCCUGGGAGAGGUAGCUGGUCCCAUAGACAUUUGUGGGGUGCUUGUUUCUGUAUCUCCUUCCAGUGGACCAGAUCUCUCCAGGCCAUUUUUCUAGGUAACUAGGAAGGCCUGACUCUGUCAACAACUUGGCUUUCUUUGGAGCAGGUGUCACUCAGGGAUUAGUUAAAAGGGGACCAGUGGUAUUCACAUUGGCUUGUGGGUAUAUUUUCUCCUCCUCAAAUUAUAACCUUUUGGAGGGCAGGAAUCAUGUUUUAUUUUUUGUGCUUUCUUGGUGCCUCACAUAAUGCUGGUUCGUAUGUGGUAUUUAAUCUGUACUUUGCUUAGGCUGCUUGAUUGAGCAGAGAAAGGCUGGGAUUUGAAUGAAUGGAUCCCUGGAUCCCUGUCCAGGGAAGUUGUGAGGCUGGACAAGUUUAUUUCCUCCUUCUUCCCUGUGGAGAAAGUGAAAAAGCGAAAGGGUUGGGGUUGGGAUAGUGGGUGGUGUCUUUGUGGCCUUCACCCGAUGGCCAAGCAGUGAACUCCACUUGCAGCUUCUGUGUCGCUCACCUGGAAGCAGUGUUGGAGGAGAAGCAUGUUGGGGAGGAUCCUUAGGACCCCUAACUUUGGAGUUAGGGUUCAGAAGGGUCUGGGGCCUGCUUUCCUUUGGGUGGCUCUGACUGGCUCUGGGAUGAGUUUAAAAGGUGAUUUCCUCCCCCAUCUCUCUUUUCUUUUAUUUCUGUUUUGGUGUAUGUGUAUGCAAGACCUUUGAUAUUUGAGUAGGGAAAUCCUCUCUUAUCAGUGGAAUUCACAGCCUCUUAUGCCUUACCCUUUCAGUUUGCCGUAAAGACAGACCAACUAGAUUUGUUUGCACAACUCUUAAUUUUUUUUUCCU